CACGUGCAUGCGAGCGAAUCGAAAGUGAAACUCGACUGCACGUUUUUAUUCGCGCACGCAAUGCACGCGGGGUCGAGUCGGUAAGAAAUAAAAUUAUCCUGACAAAAAUACGUACCAAUCGAUCUGACUAUCUCUGUCGUGUAACGAUAAGAGGGACAAUAUGCGGGACUAACUGGCUCAUCGAUUACCCUAAGCUUAAUGUUCUCAGUUUCCAUACAUUAGUAUAAAUAACGAGCGCACAAUGGAAAUUAUAAUUGCCGGUGAUUCCGUGAUAACGUAAAUUUACAUGGUAUCGAGGCGAGCCAUCGGGAGCGCAUUAAUCGGGUUCGUUUUAAUUCACGCUUUUCAUUCAUCGAAACGUGAACGCGUUACACGAGAAUAGGUAAGGACCGAGCUAUUUCCGGUGUUGAAUGAAUAUACCGCGGAACCUUGAAAGCUUCUUUAACUUUACCGAACUCGCGAGGGUGUAUUGCGAAGUCGAAAGGGGUUGACGAACACAUAGUUCCCAAGUUGGAUAAACGUCCCCUUCUACAUAUAGAUUAUCCCGCGAAAAGUACAUAACUAUGUCGCGAUAAGUUACACUCUCUUCGACCCAGUUUCCCCUUCCCACGUGUUACAUGAUCAAUGAAUUCUCAGUCCAGUUAUUAUUAGUAUCAAGCUUGACAGACUAAAUGCACGUGAAACCCAUUAUGUUUUUAACAUCAGAAAUAUGUGCGAAUGAUUCCAAGGACAGCCGGUCAUCCUGUCACGCUUUCCUGUCACAGCUAGCCAACGUUCUGUUACGACUCGUCGAUUAACGAUAAUUGUACAGUUAGUGUUUCAGUGGCUCAAAGCGUGUACACUGUUCGUCUCUGUUUCACUGUUGCUGCAGCCCGGGCGUUGAUUACUGGGCGGCAGAAGCGACGUCGGCUAAUAGCCCCACUAACUACCAGGAGCCCUGAUUGUUAGGUUACGAUCACGGUCUUUGAAACUCGCCCCACGCAUAAUAACUACCUACUAGCGACGGGGAUGAACCACCGUCGUCCUCAGAAAGUCACGCAUCGAGUUCAAAAGUUUUUAAUCAACGUCCGAAACAGACACGAUUCCUGUCCUGACAAUAAAAUAUAUACAUGGAGCAACAAGUAUUUAGAACGAGCUGCUACUUGAAAUGUUUACUACGAACACAUCUAUACGAGACGAACAGGGAAGUGCAAUCAGCAGUCGCGAGCGGAGAAAGGUGAACACGAGGAAGUUUCCGCGGAUCCUUUGUUUCCCGGAAGUUUAGGAUUCAAACUACGGUGAUCCGACGCGACGGGGAGGAAGAAUGACUGGCGAAGUUAUAUGACGGUCGAAACCGCAGCGGCCAGGAAAGGGGACAAGUUCAAGUGGCAAGGUCAAGUCCCUCACCACCCACGAGAAGAUUUAUAGCUUCCAUGCGGCGCGUUGCAAAAUGACCCAGUUUCGAGAAAACAAAAAAAAAAAACAAAUCCAGCUACGUGCAACGCGUGUCCCGCGUCUGUGUCGAACGCAGCCGCGACGAUUUAUUUCCAACGCAACGAAUUGCUCUCUGAAUUUCGUAACCGGUUCCGAUUCACGGUUUUGCGAAAAGCGUAUAAGAA
Molecule: long non-coding RNA, 1598 nt
Organism: Ceratina calcarata
Lineage: Eukaryota; Metazoa; Arthropoda; Insecta; Hymenoptera; Apidae
Exons: 3
Source: RefSeq, a predicted model, not a curated record